UACGUAGGGCGCAAGCGUUGUCCGGAUUUAUUGGGCGUAAAGAGCGUGUAGGCGGUCAGGUAGGUCCGUUGUGAAAACUCGAGGCUCAACCUCGAGACGCCGAUGGAAACCAUCUGACUAGAGUCCGGAAGAGGAGAGUGGAAUUCCUGGUGUAGCGGUGAAAUGCGCAGAUAUCAGGAAGAACACCCGUGGCUAAGGCGGCUCUCUAGUACGGUACUGACGCUGAGACGCGAAAGCGUGGGGAGCGAACAGG
This 253-nucleotide ribosomal RNA is filed under the name uncultured bacterium. Its description in RNAcentral is "partial 16S ribosomal RNA". It matches the Rfam family "Bacterial small subunit ribosomal RNA", at positions 524 to 776 of the family's 1533-position model. The record is from RNAcentral.